GGAUUAGGCAUGCAAGUCGCGCGCGAAAGCCUUCGGGCGAGUAAAGCGGCGGACGGGUGAGUAACACGUAAUCAAUCUACCCCUCAGAUCGGGAUAACCACUGGAAACGGUGGGUAAUACCGAAUGGUUCCGCCAGAGGGCAUCCUCUGAUAGGUAAACGGUGACUAGUUCACUGCUCGGGGAGGAGAUUUGCGGACUAUUAGCUUGUUGGUGGGGUAACGGCCUACCAAGGCAAUGAUGGUUAGCGGGUCUGAGAGGAUGGUCCGUCACACUGGGACUGAGACACUGCCCAGACUCCUACGGGAGGCUGCAGUCGAGAAUCUUCCGCAAUGGGCGAAAGCCUGACGGAGCGACACCGCGUGCAGGAUGAAGGCUUCGGGUUGUAAACUGCUGUCACGUUUCUAGGAACCGUACAUUGUUAAUAGCAAUGUGCCUGACCAGGGCGAAAGGAAGCACCGGCUAACUCCGUGCCAGCAGCCGCGGUAAUACGGAGGGUGCAAACGUUGUUCGGAAUCACUGGGCAUAAAGAGCAUGUAGGCGGUCUAAUUAGUUGGGUGUGAAAUCCCUCGGCUCAACCGGGGAACUGCAUCCAAUACUGUUAGGCUUGAGGAUGGUUGGGGUGAGUGGAACUCCUGGUGGAGCGGUGAAAUGCGUAGAUAUCAGGAGGAACACCGGUGGCGAAGGCGACUCACUGGACCAUUACUGACGCUGAGAUGCGAAAGCUAGGGGAGCGAACGGGAUUAGAUACCCCGGUAGUCCUAGCCGUAAACGAUGGGCACUAGACAGGGGGAUUUCCUAUGGUAUUCUCUGUCGUAGCAAAUGUGUUAAGUGCCCCGCCUGGGGAGUACGCUCGCAAGGGUAAAACUCAAAGGAAUUGACGGGGGCUCACACAAGCGGUGGAGCAUGUGGUUUAAUUCGAAGCAACGCGAAGAACCUUACCUAGCCUUGACAUUUACGGAUUAACUCUGUGAAAGCAGAGUGACAGCCCUUCGGGGUCGGAACGUGUGCAGGUGUUGCAUGGCUGUCGUCAGCUCGUGUCGUGAGAUGUUGGGUUAAGUCCCGUAACGAGCGAAACCCUUGUCGUUAGUUGCCAGCGGGUAAUGCCGGGGACUCUAGCGAGACUGCCGUUGUCAAAACGGAGGAAGGUGGGGACGACGUCAAGUCAUCAUGGCCCUUAUGACCAGGGCGACACACGUGCUACAAUGGUCCGUACAAAGGGUUCCAAAGCCGCGAGGUCAAGGCAAUCCCACAAAGCGGGCCCCAGUUCGGAUUGCAGGCUGCAAUUCGCCUGCAUGAAGCCGGAAUCGCUAGUAAUCGCGUAUCAGCCAUGACGCGGUGAAUAUGUUCCUGAUCCUUGUACACACCGCCCGUCAAGCCACGGAAGCGGGGAGCGCUCGAAGUCGUUAUGCCUAACUUUUAGAAGGCGACGCCGAAAGCAAGCUCCGUGAUUGGGACUAAGUCGUAACAAGGUAGCCGUAGGGGAACCUGCGGCUGGAUCACCUCCUUU
RNAcentral lists this ribosomal RNA (1507 nucleotides) under uncultured prokaryote. RNAcentral describes it as "partial 16S ribosomal RNA". It matches the Rfam family "Bacterial small subunit ribosomal RNA". The record is from RNAcentral.